GAAAGGGCCAAAUACGACUCUUAAUGAUACAACAGGAAAAUAUAGGUCUGAUGUUCAUUCCGUGUGGACAACAAUAGCAGCCAUUCCCACAAAUGUCUCAUUUGUGGGAAGUAAACACUACUUUUGCAGAAUCUUACAUGAUUUCAGUAGAAGGGCAAGGACAUUUCAGUUGGGAACAGAUUGCUCCAUGGUAAUGUGAUCACUAUGUACCCAACAAUGGCUCUUUCUUCCUAACGUCAAUGCAGAUGUUAUUUUCACCUUAACUAUUAUCAUUGCUGUUUCUAACCACAUAAAAGUGUAUCCUUUAUAUAUCUGAAGUAAAUUCAUACUAGUGGUGUAACAUCUCCAGCCAUUUAAGUGUAAAAACAGAAAACGUAUGAUGUGUUGACUUACUGUUUUAUACUCCUAACGCAUGAAGAGAAGAUCCUUUUAUUCAUUGCCUAUACUUUUAUUUCUAAACUUUCUGUAACACUUUAUCUUAUAUCCAGCAUAGAACUGAGAUUUGCUUUUUGAUUUAAUCUGACAAUAUUUUUCCUCUAAUAAGAGUCAAGCCCACUUACUUUUAAUGAUAAAUUGUGUUUGUUUAUAUUUUGAUAGCCGUAUAUUAUGCUAUGAUUUAGAUGCACAUAUCUGUCUUUUGCUGUCUUGUUUGUUUUUAUUGCUUUUGUUUUGAUGUUGUGAUAUUUGGAAGAGUUAAACUUUUAUUCUGAUGGCUACCUUAUGUAAUUUCAUAAAAUCAUCUCUUUCUUUAGACAGUAGCGAAUGUCUCUAAACUAAGAACAAUGAUAUUAGCUGUAUUCUCUUUCUUGUCCUCCCUAUGUGAUUUUUCAUCCCACAAUUUGAUUUAAUCAUAUUAACUUUGUUUCCCCUGGUGCCAUUAAGUAUGCUUACAUUUCUAUAAACAAUAUCCUUUGACUCCCAGGCAUUACAGAUGAGCAGUCAGUAAAAUCAUUCUGAGGAAUACUUUCUCUUUCCUUUUCUUCCAUUUUUCUUAGUUGUAUCAUUUCUAUAUUGCCAGAGCACCUAUAGUUGCAUUUCUUUCUGUCAGCUUUAUCCAGCAUUUGUUUUUGUCUUUUAUUUGAAGUUAAAUAUAUUCCUUGCUCACUACAACACUGGGGGAAGGAAGGUUUCUGUUGUCAUUGUUGUGCUUGUACAGUUGUUUAUUUAAAAACAUUGGUGAAAAUAAAAACUGUAUGUAGAUGGAGUGGAGAUAAGACAGCAAAUGAGAGAGACUGAUGAUGAGUGUGCCUAUUCUAGACUGGGAGGCGUGCUACACUGAGUAGUGUCUCAAGGCCACAGGAAAGGAUGGUUGAUUGUGAGCAGGUGGCCUUUCCACUGGAGGAGAGAAGUCCUGCGCUCAACAACCUGUGCAGAACCAGAAACUGGUAAUGCUUCAAAUCAACUUACAGACCUGGAGGUAGAAAUUUAAGAAAACUCGUUUAGCACUUAGUUACCUAGAAAAUAUUAGCAACUAUUUGCUGAGCAUCUAUCAGUCUGUCUGUAGCAUGGAAGACCUGAGUACAGGGGAAACUGGAUUAGUAACAGUGGGUCAGAAAAUUAUAUAAUAUUCAACCAAAAUUCCUGCUUUACAUACACAGCACCUGGUAUUUCCAGAACUAGAAGGCUGAAGUCCUGAGGCCAGAAUGAGACUAGGACAUGGUUCCUUUGUCUAAGUAAAGUGAGGCAGACAAUGGAAUACUUCAGACUUCAAAUUAGUAUGAUUUUCAAAACGUCAUACCUCGAACCACCACCAGAUGGCUCUGAGAAUGUUACAAAUAUUGUGCCACCAUAUAAUGCUUUCUCAGCCCAAGGCAUGCCAGAGGUAAAAUAAAAUGCAUUUGUAACCCAAGUCUUUAAAUGGUUCUUUUGCUAUAUAAAACCUGUAUAGAGGACUAAAACCAAGGAAAUUAGGUGAAUCAUUCAUGCGGAUUCAUUGUUUGAUAUUCAGUACUAUGAAAACCUCAUCCCUCA
This 1971-nucleotide long non-coding RNA is filed under the name Homo sapiens (human). Its description in RNAcentral is "HSALNT0270701". Lineage: Eukaryota; Metazoa; Chordata; Mammalia; Primates; Hominidae. The record is from RNAcentral.